GAUGAACGCUAGCGGGAGGCCUAACACAUGCAAGCCGAGCGGUAUUGUUUCUUCGGAAAUGAGAGAGCGGCGUACGGGUGCGUAACACGUGUGCAACCUGCCUUUAUCUGGGGGAUAGCCUUUCGAAAGGAAGAUUAAUACUCAAUAAUAUAUUGAACGGCAUCGUUUAAUAUUGAUAGCUCCGGCGGAUAGAGAUGGGCACGCGCAAGAUUAGCUAGCUGGUGAGGAAACGGCUCACCAAGGGUAUGAUCUUUAGGGGGCCUGAGAGGGUGAUCCCCCACACUGGUACUGAGACACGGACCAGACUCCUACGGGAGACAGCAGUGAGGAAUAUUGGUCAAUGGGUGCAAGCCUGAACCAGCCAUCCCGCGUGAAGGACGACUGCCCUAUGGGUUGUAAACUUCUUUUGUAUAGGGAUAAACCUACCCUCGUGAGGGUAGCUGAAGGUACUAUACGAAUAAGCACCGGCUAACUCCGUGCCAGCCGCCGCCGUAA
This 495-nucleotide ribosomal RNA is filed under the name uncultured bacterium. RNAcentral's name for it is "partial 16S ribosomal RNA". It matches the Rfam family "Bacterial small subunit ribosomal RNA", at positions 28 to 523 of the family's 1533-position model. The record is from RNAcentral.